Molecule: transfer RNA, 73 nt
Organism: Neotoma lepida (desert woodrat)
Lineage: Eukaryota; Metazoa; Chordata; Mammalia; Rodentia; Cricetidae
Rfam family: tRNA
About the family: Transfer RNA (tRNA) molecules are approximately 80 nucleotides in length. Their secondary structure includes four short double-helical elements and three loops (D, anti-codon, and T loops).
Source: Rfam
GGAGAGGUGGCUCAGCGGUUAAGAGCAAUGGCUGCUCAUCUAGAGGACCUGGGUUCAAUUCCCAGCAUCCACA